RNAcentral lists this unclassified non-coding RNA (548 nucleotides) under Hevea brasiliensis (rubber tree). Lineage: Eukaryota; Viridiplantae; Streptophyta; Magnoliopsida; Malpighiales; Euphorbiaceae. The record is from RNAcentral.
AAGCUCUCAACGGCUCAAAUGGUGCCGGCGAUGUUCAUUUUCGGCGACUCACUUGUCGACGUCGGCAACAACAAUCACCUUCCUGUUUCUAUUGCCAAAGCAAACUUUCCUCACAACGGUAUCGAUUUUCCUACCAAGAAAGCCACUGGAAGGUUUAGCAAUGGGAAGAACGCUGCAGAUUUUCUCGCUGAGAAAGUGGGCUUGCCUAGUUCACCCCCAUAUCUAUCCCUGUCAUCGAAGAAUGCCUCUGCCUUCAUGACUGGCGUCAGCUUCGCCUCCGGUGGUGCUGGAAUCUUCAAUGGCACAGAUCAAACUCUGCGACAAUCCAUGCCCUUGACACAGCAAGUAGGUGACUAUGAAUCCGUGUAUGGAGUGUUGGUGCAAAAGCUGGGAUCCUCUCCUGCACAAAAAUUGUUAUCUAAAUCCCUAUUUGCUAUAGUCAUCGGUAGCAAUGACAUCUUUGGUUACUCAAACUCAUCCGAUCGCAACAAAAGCACCCCUCAAGAAUAUGUGGAUUUGAUGAUUCUCACAUUGAAACAACUAGUACA